Molecule: ribosomal RNA, 293 nt
Filed under: uncultured bacterium
Lineage: Bacteria
Description: partial 16S ribosomal RNA
Source: RNAcentral
GGACUACCCGGGUAUCUAAUCCUGUUCGCUCCCCACGCUUUCGCUCCUCAGCGUCAGCUCCGGCCCAGCGCACCGCCUUCGCCACCGGUGUUCCUCCUGAUAUCUGCGCAUUUCACCGCUACACCAGGAAUUCCGUGCGCCCCUACCGGGCUCUAGCCACAGCAGUAUCAGAUGGCGACCCCAGGUUGAGCCUGAGGAUUUCACACCUGACUUACUGAGCCGCCUACGAGCUCUUUACGCCCAAUGAAUCCGGACAACGCUCGCUCCCUACGUAUUACCGCGGCUGCUGGCAC